RNAcentral lists this ribosomal RNA (450 nucleotides) under uncultured bacterium. Its description in RNAcentral is "partial 16S ribosomal RNA". It matches the Rfam family "Bacterial small subunit ribosomal RNA", at positions 354 to 796 of the family's 1533-position model. The record is from RNAcentral.
GUUAGGAAUAUUGGACAAUGGGCGAAAGCCUGAUCCAGCCAUGCCGCGUGUGUGAAGAAGGUCUUCGGAUUGUAAAGCACUUUAAGUUGGGAGGAAGGGCAGUAAGUUAAUACCUUGCUGUUUUGACGUUACCGACAGAAUAAGCACCGGCUAACUUCGUGCCAGCAGCCGCGGUAAUACGAAGGGUGCAAGCGUUAAUCGGAAUUACUGGGCGUAAAGCGCGCGUAGGUGGUUUUGUAAGUUGGAGGUGAAAUCCCCGGGCUCAACCUGGGAACUGCCUCCAAAACUGCAUGACUAGAGUACGGUAGAGGGUAGUGGAAUUUCCUGUGUAGCGGUGAAAUGCGUAGAUAUAGGAAGGAACACCAGUGGCGAAGGCGACUACCUGGACUGAUACUGACACUGAGGUGCGAAAGCGUGGGGAGCAAACAGGAUUAGAUACCCUUGUAGUCC